This is a long non-coding RNA of Pipistrellus kuhlii (Kuhl's pipistrelle), 278 nucleotides long. RefSeq lists it as uncharacterized. The record is from RefSeq and is a predicted model, not a curated record. Lineage: Eukaryota; Metazoa; Chordata; Mammalia; Chiroptera; Vespertilionidae. The transcript is spliced from 3 exons.
CGCACCUUUGAGGGUCUUGCGCAGGUGGGAGAGCAGCCCCCCGAGGCGCUGCUGGUCGAAGUAGUCCACCUUGCCGUUGUAGAAGACCUGGGGUGGGACGUAGGCCUCUGCGCGAGGCCGGCACCCGGGCGGCGGUCAGGCCCGGCCCGCGCCGCAGGGGCCGCGCGGACCGCCGGCCGAGCCCUCACCUGCCGCUCCAUGACUGCCGCCGGCGGGCGGGGCGGACGGCGCCGGAAGUGAGGCGCGGGGGCGGAGCCCGGACCGCCCCGAAAGCCGCG